GAAUUCACAGAUGCAAGCUUGGGUCUCAUCAGGUGGUUCUGAAAUGGUUUCCCAUACCUUGACUAGACAUCAAGAAAUUCUACAAGAUCUUACGCAGGAGUUUUAUCGUCUUCGCUCCAGCCUCCGAGCCAAGCAAGAACAUGCUUCACUUUUAGAUGACUUCAGGGAGUUUGAUCGUUCAAGACUUGAACUGGAAGAUGGUUUGGGAACUGCAGAACAAACUCUUCUAAAGGAGCAUGCAUCUGUUAGCCGUAGCACAGGACAGAUGGAUAAUGUGAUU
Molecule: unclassified non-coding RNA, 280 nt
Filed under: Hevea brasiliensis (rubber tree)
Lineage: Eukaryota; Viridiplantae; Streptophyta; Magnoliopsida; Malpighiales; Euphorbiaceae
Source: RNAcentral